Poecilia reticulata (guppy) is the source of this 1656-nucleotide non-coding RNA. Lineage: Eukaryota; Metazoa; Chordata; Actinopteri; Cyprinodontiformes; Poeciliidae. The record is from RefSeq and is a predicted model, not a curated record.
CUGCUGGACUGGAGGAGAACUGAACAGGCUCGCUCUGGGAGGAGAUGCCAGCCCAGAACCGUUUCUGAUGGCAACCGAACCAAAUGUUAUAUUGGACAUCCUGACGCCCUCCCGUCUGCAGCUGAGCAGCAGGUUCUGCAUUAGAGGCCACAGUAAAGACAAACUGUGCCUCUCUUGGAGGUGCGUCGGAGCAGGUAGGCAAUCAGCAGUUGCACUCGAGGACUGGAGUUGCAUCCCUGUGAUCUGCAGUGACGCUGAGGUUUACAGCUGAAAUCCUGUGAGGUCACAUGUGACACGAGAGCGGUGAUUCGCCGUGAACUCGUAGAGUUUCCAGUCCGACUGCUUACAUCCACGUAAUCCCUGCUGAAGUGUGCCGCUGGGAUUAUGGACAUUCCCCAUCGCCUGAUUGUGUGUUUGAACGUCCACAGCUGGUGGUCUGACCGCAGAGAGAGUCUCUCUGAUGGGAGUGGAAGGAUUAGGGUCAGCUGGUCCAAACCAACUGCUUUUACUAGAGGGGAGGUCACUGUAUGAUGAACUUUAACCUUUUCCAGGAUCAAAUCUGGAUCACAGAAUUUUAAUAUCCAGGGUGUGGAUUCAAUUUAUCUGAGUAAUAAGUAAAUAAUAAUAAAUAAAAAAACAUAUUUUAAAUAGUUAGAAUCACUAUGUUUGGUUCCUUAAAGUGAUCCUCAUUAGUCCUGGAUGUAUCCUAAGUGCACAAAUGAGUGUUAGAACAGAUCCUUCCUCCACCCAGCAGUAACAUCACUGCUUCCAACAAUCUCAGAAAUGAUUAAUUAUUGAACCUAGUUAUCCAUCUCUCUAGGUAACUAGCUAGCUUUGUGAUCUAUGAACAUCUUGAACAUUUUUUCACUAGAUUACUUCACUCAGUUAUAUUUUUCAUAUCUGAGUAUGCUAUUAUUUAAUAACUGUUAUUUUUCUUUUGUUGUGAAUUUGCUGUUGGCUCUUCAGUUUCUUAUUCUUGUUUUUCGUUACUGUGGUGUUUCUUUCUCAGCCUGGUUUCUAUUAUGCUCAUUUUCAUCUGUAAUAUUUAUCACUUUGGGCUUUUUACUUGGCUCCUGUAAUCAGUUAUUUUAAUGGAACGUCUUACCUUAAAUUAAACAUUUAAUCCAUGCAUGUAUGUGUGUUUUGUUGAUGUUUUUAUGGACUUGCUAUCUAGUUAGCUUGUCUAUCUAACUCGCUAGUUGUUUGUUGUUCGCUUCUUACAAAUGGACUUGUUGUUUUAUUGUUGUUUUGUAAAUGUUUUUAAAUUAUCGUUCCCAGUUUCAAUUCCUUAAAACUAAAUCUGAGUAUGCUGUUCUUUAAUAACUGUUGGAUAUUAUUUUUAUGUUGCAAGUUUGCCUUUCCUGUCUCUUAUUUCUCUAUAUAUUUACCUUUGUGUGAAUAUGCUUCCUCUUGUCGUUUUUAUAUUUUCUUAUUGAUUCUUGAGGUUUUGUGAAGCUUUGUUUGUGUUUUUCUUUGGACUUUGGCUGCUUUGUUACUUAAUGCAGCUCCUCUAGUUAUGCGUCAGCUGGAUUAUUUCAUGUUUCUUACAGAAAUUGUCAUGAUGUAGCUUUGUUUUUGUAUUUGAGUACUGCACCACGUCUGCUUGUUUAUCCAUUUAUUUGUCUAAUAACUGGUUCUCUGUUUUUGUUCUACUUU